CAAGUCGAACGGGACUGCGACCGCAAGGAAGCAGUUCAGUGGCGAAAGGGCGAGUAAUACAUCGAUCAUCUGCCCUUGGGACCGGAAUAACACCUGGAAACGGGUGCUAAUGCCGGAUGGUCCAGCAAUGGUAAACGGUGGGGACCGCAAGGCCUACCGCCCAGGGAGGAGUCGAUGCCCUAUCAGCUAGUUGGUGAGGUAACGGCUCACCAAGGCGAAGACGGGUAGCCGGACUGAGAGGUUGGUCGGCCGCACUGGGACUGGGACACUGCCCAGACUCCUACGGGAGGCUGCAGUCGAGGAUCUUCCGCAAUGGGGGCAACCCUGACGGAGCGACGCCGCGUGCAGGAUGAAGGCCUUCGGGUCGUAAACUGCUGUCACACGUUAUGAAAAAGUGUGGACUAACACUCCGCACCUUGACAAAGGCGUGAAAGGAAGCCACGGCUAACUUCGUGCCAGCAGCCGCGGUAAGACGAAGGUGGCUAGCGUUGCUCGGAUUUACUGGGCAUAAAGCGCGCGUAGGUGGUCCUGUAAGCGAGAGAUGAAAGCCCAUGGCUCACCCAUGGAACUGUCCCUCGGACUGCAGGGCUGGAGGGCGGGAGGGGAGAAUGGAAUUCCCGGUGUAGCGGUGAAAUGCGUAGAUAUCGGGAGGAACGCCGGUGGCGAAAGCGAUUCUCUGGCCCGUUCCUGACACUGAUGCGCGAAAGCUAGGGGAGCAAACAGGAUUAGAUACCCUGGUAGUCCUAGCUGUAAACGAUGGGCACUGGGUAGAGGUGGUGUCGAUACCGUCUCUGCCGAAGCAAAUGUGUUAAGUGCCCCGCCUGGGGAGUACGGU
Molecule: ribosomal RNA, 835 nt
Filed under: uncultured Bacillota bacterium
Lineage: Bacteria; Bacillati; Bacillota
Description: bacterial SSU rRNA
Rfam family: Bacterial small subunit ribosomal RNA
Source: RNAcentral